GAGUUUGAUCCUGGCUCAGGACGAACGCUGGCGGCGUGCCUAAUACAUGCAAGUCGAGCGAACAGAGAAGGAGCUUGCUCCUUCGACGUUAGCGGCGGACGGGUGAGUAACACGUGGGCAACCUACCUUAUAGUUUGGGAUAACUCCGGGAAACCGGGGCUAAUACCGAAUAAUCUGUUUCACCUCAUGGUGAAACACUGAAAGACGGUUUCGGCUGUCGCUAUAGGAUGGGCCCGCGGCGCAUUAGCUAGUUGGUGAGGUAACGGCUCACCAAGGCGACGAUGCGUAGCCGACCUGAGAGGGUGAUCGGCCACACUGGGACUGAGACACGGCCCAGACUCCUACGGGAGGCAGCAGUAGGGAAUCUUCCACAAUGGGCGAAAGCCUGAUGGAGCAACGCCGCGUGAGUGAAGAAGGAUUUCGGUUCGUAAAACUCUGUUGUAAGGGAAGAACAAGUACAGUAGUAACUGGCUGUACCUUGACGGUACCUUAAUAUAAAGCCACGGCUAAAUACGUGCCAGCAGCCGCGGGAAAUACGUAGGUGGCAAGCGUUGUCCGGAAUUAUUGGGGCGUAAAACNCGCGCAGGUGGUUUUCUUAAAUUCUGAAGGUGAAAACCCNCCGCUCAACCCUGGAAGGUUCAUUGGAAAACUGGGAACACCUUGAGGUGCCNUAA
RNAcentral lists this ribosomal RNA (674 nucleotides) under Lysinibacillus sp. SO6.21. Its description in RNAcentral is "bacterial SSU rRNA". It matches the Rfam family "Bacterial small subunit ribosomal RNA", at positions 9 to 665 of the family's 1533-position model. The record is from RNAcentral. Lineage: Bacteria; Bacillati; Bacillota; Bacilli; Caryophanales; Bacillaceae.